Molecule: ribosomal RNA, 253 nt
Filed under: uncultured bacterium
Lineage: Bacteria
Description: partial 16S ribosomal RNA
Rfam family: Bacterial small subunit ribosomal RNA
Source: RNAcentral
UACAGAGGGUGCGAGCGUUAAUCGGAAUUACUGGGCGUAAAGCGUGCGUAGACGGCUAUCUAAGUCGGGUGUGAAAGCCCCGGGCUCAACCUGGGAAUUGCAUUCGAGACUGAAUAGCUAGGGUGCGGUAGAGGGAAGCGGAAUUUCCGGUGUAGCGGUGAGAUGCGUAGAUAUCGGAAGGAACAUCAGUGGCGAAAGCGGCUUCCUGGACCAGCACCGACGUUCAGGCACGAAAGCGUGGGGAGCAAACAGG